UUCAUCCCCUUCUUAAAUUAGUACCGACGCAGCCAUGCGACAAACUUCCUGCGUUAGCUAACUCGCUCGCUCGCUCACUCACCCAAUCAAAGCCAAUGCCAAUUCUCUCCAUGUCUUCGCUACACUCUCUUCUCCUCCUCCCACUGAUCUCUAUGAUGUUAAGUUUGGUUAUAGGUUCAACUGAUGGAGGGUUCUGCUCCGCACCUUCAACAUUCGAUGAGGAAGAAGCUUCCAAAUCUCUCUACUGGAAAGUUACAAAUCCCACUCUUUCCCCUUCUCAUCUCCAAGACUUGCCAGGUUUCACGCGCAGUGUUUAUAAAAGAGAUCAUGCUUUAAUAACUCCUGAAAGUCAUGUAUUCAGUCCUUUACCUGAGUGGACCAAUACCUUAGGGGCAUAUCUAAUCACACCGGCUAUGGGCUCACACUUUGUUAUGUACUUAGCAAAGAUGCAAGGAAAAUCAAGAUCAGGGCUCCCUCCUCAUGAUGUAGAGAGGUUCAUAUUCGUGGUUCAGGGUUCUGUGAUUCUCACAAAUGCAUCUAGUGCCAGUCACAAACUAAUGGUCGAUUCAUAUGCUUAUCUACCUCCCAAUUUUGAACACUUUGUGGAGUGUGAUGGAUCUGCUACUCUUGCUGUCUUUGAACGAAGGUAUGCUUUUCUAGACAAUCUAAGUACUGAACUGAUUGUGGGUUCAACAGACAAGCAGCCACUUCUUGAGACUCCAGGGGAGGUUUUUGAACUUAGGAAGCUUCUUCCUCCAUCAUUACCUUAUGACUUCAAUAUCCAUAUUAUGGAUUUUCAACCCGGUGAAUACCUUAAUGUGAAGGAAGUCCAUUAUAAUCAGCAUGGUUUACUGCUAUUAGAGGGCCAUGGUAUUUAUCGUCUGGGUGAUAGCUGUAUCUUAGGUGCGCAUAGGAAAGAGUGAAUAAUAUCAUGCCUUUAUAUUUAAGGAAAAGAAAAAGAAUAACAUCAUGCCUUCAAGUUAGGGUAUCCAGUCCAAUCUGGUGAUGUCAUCUGGAUGGCCCCAUUCGUGCCUCAGUGGUAUGCUGCACUUGGUAAAACCCGGUCACGGUAUUUGCUGUAUAAAGAUGUCAACAGGAAUCCAUUGUAAUGACAUGCAACAAAAGAUUUGCUCUUGGGCUUCAUUAAGUGAUUGUGGCAAGAAAAGGUCAAUUUAUGGAGCAGUAAACAUGCUGCUAAAGCCUAUAAACAUUACGAUGGAUGGGUAACAGUCAUCCUUGUUUAAUCUGGCUCAUGGUAGCAGAAAACCAAGCUUGUAGAAUUUACGUGGUAAAUGAAUUGACGUGCUGCCCUCUUGUAAAAUAAAAGAUUAUUGAACAUCGGUGGAUACUGGAUAGUUUCUGUUAAUCACAAACCUGCAAAAGUUAUACUUUGAUUAA
This is an RNA transcript of Manihot esculenta (cassava), 1398 nucleotides long. It is a transcript of the gene named (S)-ureidoglycine aminohydrolase, with no coding region annotated. The record is from RefSeq and is a predicted model, not a curated record. NCBI's taxonomy places the organism in Eukaryota, Viridiplantae, Streptophyta, Magnoliopsida, Malpighiales, Euphorbiaceae. The transcript has 14 exons.